Molecule: ribosomal RNA, 663 nt
Filed under: uncultured eukaryote
Lineage: Eukaryota
Description: SSU rRNA
Rfam family: Eukaryotic small subunit ribosomal RNA
Source: RNAcentral
GGCGCGCAAAUUACCCAAUCCCGACACGGGGAGGUAGUGACAAUAAAUACUGAUACAGGGCUCUUUUGGGUCUUGUAAUUGGAAUGAGUACAAUUUAAAUCCCUUAACGAGGAACAAUUGGAGGGCAAGUCUGGUGCCAGCAGCCGCGGUAAUUCCAGCUCCAAUAGCGUAUAUUAAAGUUGUUGUGGUUAAAAAGCUCGUAGUUGAACCUUGGGCCUGGCUGGCCGGUCCGCCUCACCGCGUGUACUGGUCCGGCCGGGCCUUUCCCUCUGUGGAACCCCAUGCCCUUCACUGGGUGUGGCGGGGAAACAGGACUUUUACUUUGAAAAAAUUAGAGUGCUCCAGGCAGGCCUAUGCUCGAAUACAUUAGCAUGGAAUAAUAGAAUAGGACGUGUGGUUCUAUUUUGUUGGUUUCUAGGACCGCCGUAAUGAUUAAUAGGGACAGUCGGGGGCAUCAGUAUUCAAUUGUCAGAGGUGAAAUUCUUGGAUUUAUUGAAGACUAACUACUGCGAAAGCAUUUGCCAAGGAUGUUUUCAUUAAUCAGGAACGAAAGUUAGGGGAUCGAAGACGAUCAGAUACCGUCGUAGUCUUAACCAUAAACUAUGCCGACUAGGGAUCGGACGAUGUUAUUUUUUUGACUCGUUCGGCACCUUACGAGAAAUC